UUAAUUGAAACCAAAAUAGAGGUAAAUUAUUGUUAAUAAUUAAAAUGAUUAAUAAUCCAAUUAAA
This 65-nucleotide transfer RNA is filed under the name Andrena semilaevis. RNAcentral describes it as "tRNA-Asn". The record is from RNAcentral. Lineage: Eukaryota; Metazoa; Arthropoda; Insecta; Hymenoptera; Andrenidae.